Molecule: ribosomal RNA, 497 nt
Filed under: uncultured bacterium
Lineage: Bacteria
Description: partial 16S ribosomal RNA
Rfam family: Bacterial small subunit ribosomal RNA
Source: RNAcentral
GACGAACGCUGGCGGCGUGCCUAAUACAUGCAAGUUGAGCGAUGAAGAUUGGUGCUUGCACCAAUUUGAAGAGCAGCGAACGGGUGAGUAACGCGUGGGGAAUCUGCCUUUGAGCGGGGGACAACAUUUGGAAACGAGUGCUAAUACCGCAUAAUAACUUUAAACAUAAGUUUUAAGUUUGAAAGAUGCAAUUGCAUCACUCAAAGAUGAUCCCGCGUUGUAUUAGCUAGUUGGUGAGGUAAAGGCUCACCAAGGCGAUGAUACAUAGCCGACCUGAGAGGGUGAUCGGCCACAUUGGGACUGAGACACGGCCCAAACUCCUACGGGAGGCAGCAGUAGGGAAUCUUCGGCAAUGGACGAAAGUCUGACCGAGCAACGCCGCGUGAGUGAAGAAGGUUUUCGGAUCGUAAAACUCUGUUAGUAGAGAAGAACGUUGGUGAGAGUGGAAAGCUCAUCAAGUGACGGUAACUACCCAGAAAGGGACGGCUAACUACGUG